RNAcentral lists this ribosomal RNA (442 nucleotides) under uncultured bacterium. RNAcentral's name for it is "partial 16S ribosomal RNA". It matches the Rfam family "Bacterial small subunit ribosomal RNA", at positions 338 to 795 of the family's 1533-position model. The record is from RNAcentral.
CCUACGGGUGGCAGCAGUGGGGAAUAUUGGGCAAUGGGCGCAAGCCUGACCCAGCAACGCCGCGUGAAGGAAGAAGGCUUUCGGGUUGUAAACUUCUUUUCUCAGGGACGAAGCAAGUGACGGUACCUGAGGAAUAAGCCACGGCUAACUACGUGCCAGCAGCCGCGGUAAUACGUAGGUGGCAAGCGUUAUGCGGAUUUAUUGGGUGUAAAGGGUGCGUAGGCGGAUCGUUAAGUCAGGGGUAAAAUUGAGGGGCGCAACCCCUCCCCGCCAUUGAAACUGGCGUUCUUGAGUGGAAGAGAAGUAUGCGGAAGGCGUGGUGGAGCGGUGAAAUGCAUAGAUAGCACGCAGAACCCCGAUUGCGAAGGCAGCAUGCCGGCUUCCGACUGACGCUGAAGCACGAAAGCGUGGGGAUCGAACAGGAUUAGAUACCCGUGUAGUC